RNAcentral lists this ribosomal RNA (673 nucleotides) under uncultured bacterium. Its description in RNAcentral is "bacterial SSU rRNA". It matches the Rfam family "Bacterial small subunit ribosomal RNA", at positions 28 to 696 of the family's 1533-position model. The record is from RNAcentral.
AUUGAACGCUGGCGGCAUGCCUUACACAUGCAAGUCGAACGGCAGCACGGGAGCAAUCCUGGUGGCGAGUGGCGAACGGGUGAGUAAAGUAUCGGAACGUACCGUAGAGUGGGGGAUAACGUAGCGAAAGUUACGCUAAUACCGCAUAUUCCCUGAGGGGGAAAGCAGGGGAUCGCAAGACCUUGUGCUCUUUGAGCGGCCGAUAUCAGAUUAGCUAGUUGGUGAGGUAAAGGCUCACCAAGGCGACGAUCUGUAGCGGGUCUGAGAGGAUGGUCCGCCACACUGGAACUGAGACACGGUCCAGACUCCUACGGGAGGCAGCAGUGGGGAAUUUUGGACAAUGGGGGCAACCCUGAUCCAGCCAUGCCGCGUGAGUGAAGAAGGCCUUCGGGUUGUAAAGCUCUUUCGGCCGGGAAGAAAUCGCACAGGUUAAUACCCUGUGUGGAUGACGGUACCGGAAUAAGAAGCACCGGCUAACUACGUGCCAGCAGCCGCGGUAACACGUAGGGUGCGAGCGUUAAUCGGAAUUACUGGGCGUAAAGCGUGCGCAGGCGGUUUGUUAAGAUAGGCGUGAAAUCCCCGGGCUCAACCUGGGAACUGCGCUUAUGACUGGCAGGCUAGAGUACGGCAGAGGGGGGUGGAAUUCCACGUGUAGCAGUGAAAUGCGUAAAGA